GAUGAACGCUGGCGGCGUGCUUAACACAUGCAAGUCGAACGGAAAGGCCCAAGCUUGCUUGGGUACUCGAGUGGCGAACGGGUGAGUAACACGUGGGUGAUCUGCCCUGCACUUCGGGAUAAGCCUGGGAAACUGGGUCUAAUACCGGAUAGGACCACUUCUUGGAUGGUGUGGUGGGAAGUGUUUUCGGUGUGGGAUGAGCUCGCGGCCUAUCAGCUUGUUGGGGGGGUAAUGGGCUACCAAGGCGUCGACGGGUAGCCGGCCUGGGAGGGUGUACGGGCAAAUUGGGAAUGAGGUAAGGCCCAGAAUCCUACGGGGGGCAGGAGGGGGGAAUAUUGCACAAUGGGGGGAAGCCUGAUGCAGCGACGCCGCGUGGGGGAUGACGGGCUUCGGGUUGUAAACUCCUUUCGCUAGGGACGAAGCGGUUUGUGACGGUACCUGGAGAAGAAGCACCGGCUAACUACGUG
RNAcentral lists this ribosomal RNA (467 nucleotides) under uncultured bacterium. Its description in RNAcentral is "partial 16S ribosomal RNA". It matches the Rfam family "Bacterial small subunit ribosomal RNA", at positions 28 to 507 of the family's 1533-position model. The record is from RNAcentral.